This 253-nucleotide ribosomal RNA is filed under the name uncultured bacterium. RNAcentral describes it as "partial 16S ribosomal RNA". It matches the Rfam family "Bacterial small subunit ribosomal RNA", at positions 524 to 776 of the family's 1533-position model. The record is from RNAcentral.
UACGUAGGGUGCGAGCGUUGUCCGGAAUUACUGGGCGUAAAGAGCUCGUAGGUGGUUUGUCGCGUCGUUCGUGAAAUCCCACAGCUUAACUGUGGGCGUGCGGGCGAUACGGGCAGACUGGAGUACUGCAGGGGAGACUGGAAUUCCUGGUGUAGCGGUGGAAUGCGCAGAUAUCAGGAGGAACACCGGUGGCGAAGGCGGGUCUCUGGGCAGUAACUGACGCUGAGGAGCGAAAGCGUGGGGAGCGAACAGG